Molecule: ribosomal RNA, 828 nt
Filed under: uncultured bacterium
Lineage: Bacteria
Description: bacterial SSU rRNA
Rfam family: Bacterial small subunit ribosomal RNA
Source: RNAcentral
AGUCGAGCGACAGACGAGGAGCUUGCUCCUCUGACGUUAGCGGCGGACGGGUGAGUAGCACGUGGAUAACCUACCUAUAAGACUGGGAUAGCUUCGGGAAACCGGAGCUAAUACCGGAUAAUAUAUUGAACCGCAUGGUCCAAUAGUGAAAGACGGUUUUGCUGUCACUUAUAGAUGGAUCCGCGCCGCAUUAGCUAGUUGGUAAGGUAACGGCUUACCAAGACAACGAUGCGUAGCCGACCUGAGAGGGUGAUCGGCCACACUGGAACUGAGACACGGUCCAGACUCCUACGGGAGGCAGCAGUAGGGAAUCUUCCGCAAUGGGCGAAAGCCUGACGGAGCAACGCCGCGUGAGUGAUGAAGGUCUUCGGAUCGUAAAACUCUGCUACUAGGGAAGAACAAAUGUGUAAGUAACUAUGCACGUCUUGACGGUACCUAAUCAGAAAGCCACGGCUAACUACGUGCCAGCAGCCGCGGUAAUACGUAGGCGGCAAGCGUUAUCCGGAAUUAUUGGGCGUAAAGCGCGCGUAGGUGGUUUUUUAAGUCUGAUAUGAAAGCCCACGGCUCAACCGUGGAGGGUCAUUGGAAACUGGAAAACUUGAGUGCAGAAGAGGAAAGUGGAAUUCCAUGUGUAGCGGUGAAAUGCGCAGAGAUAUGGAGGAACACCAGUGGCGAAGGCGACUUUCUGGUCUGUAACUGACGCUGAUGUGCGAAAGCGUGGAGAUCAAACAGGAUUAGAUACCCUGGUAGUCCACGCCGUAAACGAUGAGUGCUAAGUGUUAAGGGGUUUCCGCCCCUUAGUGCUGCAGCUAACGCAUUAAGCACUCC